RNAcentral lists this ribosomal RNA (253 nucleotides) under uncultured bacterium. RNAcentral describes it as "partial 16S ribosomal RNA". It matches the Rfam family "Bacterial small subunit ribosomal RNA", at positions 524 to 776 of the family's 1533-position model. The record is from RNAcentral.
UACGGGGGGGGCAAGCGUUGUUCGGAAUUACUGGGCGUAAAGGGCUCGUAGGCGGCCAACUAAGUCAGACGUGAAAUCCCCAGGCUCAACCUGGGAACUGCGUCUGAUACUGGAUGGCUUGAAUCCGGGAGAGGGAUGUGGAAUUCCAGGUGUAGCGGUGAAGUGCGUAGAUAUCUGGAGGAACACCGGUGGCGAAGGCGGCAUCCUGGACCGGUAUUGACGCUGAGGCGCGAAAGCCAGGGGAGCAAACGGG